UGGGGAAUAUUGGACAAUGGGCGCAAGCCUGAUCCAGCCAUGCCGCGUGAGUGAUGAAGGCCCUAGGGUUGUAAAGCUCUUUCACCGGUGAAGAUAAUGACGGUAACCGGAGAAGAAGCCCCGGCUAACUUCGUGCCAGCAGCCGCGGUAAUACGAAGGGGGCUAGCGUUGUUCGGAAUUACUGGGCGUAAAGCGCGCGUAGGUGGUUUGGUAAGAUGGAUGUGAAAUCCCCGGGCUCAACCUGGGAACUGCAUCCAUAACUGCCUGACUAGAGUACGGUAGAGGGUGGUGGAAUUUCCUGUGUAGCGGUGAAAUGCGUAGAUAUAGGAAGGAACACCAGUGGCGAAGGCGACCACCUGGACUGAUACUGACACUGAGGUGCGAAAGCGUGGGGAGCAAACA
RNAcentral lists this ribosomal RNA (402 nucleotides) under uncultured bacterium. RNAcentral describes it as "bacterial SSU rRNA". It matches the Rfam family "Bacterial small subunit ribosomal RNA", at positions 355 to 774 of the family's 1533-position model. The record is from RNAcentral.